CCUGCCCUGUACAGGGGGAUAACAGCUGGAAACGGCUGCUAAUACCGCAUAAGCGCACGAGGAGACAUCUCCUUGUGUGAAAAACUUCGGUGGUACAGGAUGGGCCCGCGUCUGAUUAGCUGGUUGGCAGGGUAACGGCCUACCAAGGCAACGAUCAGUAGCCGGUCUGAGAGGAUGAACGGCCACAUUGGAACUGAGACACGGUCCCAAACUCCUACGGGAGGCAGCAGUGGGGAAUAUUGCACAAUGGGGGAAACCCUGAUGCAGCAACGCCGCGUGAGUGAAGAAGUAUUUCGGUAUGUAAAGCUCUAUCAGCAGGGAAGAUAAUGACGGUACCUGACUAAGAAGCUCCGGCUAAAUACGUGCCAGCAGCCGCGGUAAUACGUAUGGAGCAAGCGUUAUCCGGAUUUACUGGGUGUAAAGGGUGCGUAGGUGGCAGUGCAAGUCAGAUGUGAAAGGCCGGGGCUCAACCCCGGAGCUGCAUUUGAAACUGCAUAGCUAGAGUACAGGAGAGGCAGGCGGAAUUCCUAGUGUAGCGGUGAAAUGCGUAGAUAUUAGGAGGAACACCAGUGGCGAAGGCGGCCUGCUGGACUGUUACUGACACUGAGGCACGAAAGCGUGGGGAGCAAACAGGAUUAGAUACCCUGGUAGUCCACGCCGUAA
RNAcentral lists this ribosomal RNA (663 nucleotides) under uncultured bacterium. RNAcentral describes it as "bacterial SSU rRNA". It matches the Rfam family "Bacterial small subunit ribosomal RNA", at positions 125 to 805 of the family's 1533-position model. The record is from RNAcentral.